Brienomyrus brachyistius is the source of this 2937-nucleotide long non-coding RNA. RefSeq lists it as uncharacterized. The record is from RefSeq and is a predicted model, not a curated record. The transcript is spliced from 2 exons. NCBI's taxonomy places the organism in Eukaryota, Metazoa, Chordata, Actinopteri, Osteoglossiformes, Mormyridae.
AAUACAGGAAUUAUUCAUUUCCAAUUUCGUUCACUCAACUGAAAAUGUCUCCUUAAAACAUUUGUAUCCUAUAUCAAAUAUUUAAUAUUGGAGUAUUUAAUUAUCUCUUCAAAUAAUUAUUCAAGUGGUUGAUUAGCUUUUUUCUCCAACUAAAAGCUGUAUAGUUCCUUGAGGUGGUCUUCAUUCCGUAAACAUGCCGAAUGCAGUUGAAGAACAGGAACUUUAUUUUCGAAAAAGAAGUAGGUGAAACUUUUUGACCAAGUAGAACAUAUGAAGUCUAGUAGAGGAAACAUCCAUAAUGCAAAUGUGAAAGAUUUCCAGGAACUUAAACUAAAGAGAAGGAAGGGGUGAAACUCGGUGAGCGAGUUUAAUGCCCUGUAGAUCGUAACGUGUGAAGCAGAAUGCCUAAAUUUUACUGUAGCGCAAUACUAUAUUAUGUAAUGUAACUUUACAUCAAGAUUUAAAAGAAAAUGUUACCAUAGAUAUAAGUGGGUAUGUGUGUGUGUUUGAAUGACGUUUGAGAGGAGGUAUUGGAGACACUAACUCCUCCAGGUUAAUGACUGGCUGCAGGCUGUGCGACUUAAGGGUUUUAAAAGCCUGCGCGUGUCACCGAAGCCAGUUUCUCAUGGGGUUUGUCGUGAGCAAGCACGCGCACGGAGCGGUGGUCGCCUCAACAGCAGUAUGUGAAGCUUCGACCAGCGGGACUGGUUCCUGUGUAAUAAGCCAGGGUCCCCGGACACUCCCCAGCAUUAUUGUCACGGCGCCGUCCCGGGAGGACCUUCUGACGCCGAACCCUGUUAGGACGAUAGAGGGCGCCACCAAGGAGCGCAGACCGGGUGUCCCCGUCUACAUCAACCGUCAGCCCUUUACUAAAAGCUAACAUGCGAUUAUCCAAGUACAGUAUCUUCUGGCGUAAUGCCAUUGUGAAAUAAUUUGUCUAAUCUGUAAUGCAUUUCCAUUUUUCAGUUAAUAUACCAUUGGUGUAGUAGUAUGAAUGGAUGGACAGAUGGAUAGUGACAUUCAGUGUACUCAACUAGCCAAAGACCCUUUCACAGCAAUUUGGUCCUGGUGUGUUUUUCUGGUUUUGUGUACCAUGUGUCUGGCGAGUUGGCACAGUCCUUAACAUGAAUACACCCAGAUUUGACCCUGCACCUAAAGCAAAAGUAGUAGACAUCCAUUUACACAAUUCAAGACCACUGCCUUCAUGUACAGACUUUUUAAUUCUCCUUAGAAGCAUCAAAUUACUGUGAAAAUAUUAAAGGAGGCCUUUGCACUUAAGGAUGAUUUGAAAAGGCUUUGCAUUCAGAAAAAAAGUGAGUUUUGGAGCUUGCUUCCCGACUGCAGGAAAUGGACUGCUGUGACGUUGGGAAAUUAGUAGCGGUUUUAAGGGAUAAUCUCCGGCACAUUCCGUUUAAUUCUCAAAAAGCUUAUUUUGAAGACUUAUCCUUUAUAGCUGGCGAGAAAGCAUCCGUCCGAUAUAGUCAAUUGCUGCAAAUAUCUGUUUGAGCUGCUAUUCUUGUUUUAUACCCCAAAAGAAGCCAUUUUGCUGCAUGAUGUUUUUGAUUUGACCAAAUAUCAUCACCAUGGUAACCCAGACUGGGAGAAAGGGAAGGAUGGAUGCAAAUCAUCUAUGAACGUAGUUCAUGACUUACUGUGAUGCUGCUGAAGUCCAUGAACGGUCCACGACCCUGCAGUCCAGCAGGGGGAGGAGACGCAUUCCAGCGACAUGUCCAUCCCCCCUCGCCAUGAGGCACCAUUAAUGCGGCAAGACCUAAUGCAAAGUGUUUUAGGGCCACCUGACUGGAGGAGCUGUUGCUUCAGAGCUGCAAUCCCACAGCUUUCAUGCACGUGAAACAGAGCGGAAAAGAGUGUCUGACUUCCACCACUUCUACAUCCGUAGUGCAACAUGGAAGAAACACGAUUUUUUUCCCCCUAUAGUGUUGAUCAAUGUCUCAACCCAGUUCUCUGGGACCACAAAAGCAGGAAUGCAGAAUGCUUGUUUACACAUGAUAGUUUGGAUGCAGUCUGUAAUAAACUUGGUGGUGUAUAAUUUUAUUAUCCCCCCACCCUACAAACAGAGCUUUCGUUUUGUAACUCUCCAUUUCAGGUGUGAUAUUUACAUACCUCCAGAAAAGCAAUGCUGCAGUCAUAAGGGGUUCAGAAAUAUUUGACUUGUAAAUGAAGGUAAUCGUCAAGAUCAUAGUUUUUUGUGGCAUUCAUUAUAUGAUUAAUACAGCUUAAAAUUACUAUAUAUUCUAAAAACAAUUUGUUAAAUGGGCGAGGGGGGCAGAUAACUAUAGCAUACAUUUUGUCUUCAAUGGAUCGGCUUCAGUUUUAUGGUCAUUUACAUUAACGGUCAUUUUCAAAGCGUAAACGUUUACUUUUCGAUUACAGAGCUAAAAUAUGUUGUUUCAUGAAAGGACACAAAAUGAACCAAGGUAGAGAACAUAAGUAGGAAAAAGAAGAUGCUGUUCACUGGCCGCUGUCAAAUGUAUGGGGUUUAUUAAGAUCAAUCCAAAUGGGAUUUAACGACAAAGAGUUAUAGCAGAGCAAUAGACAUUGCAAGUAAACACCAUUGUUAAUCUGUGUACAGCAAUAACAACUGGAUAAAAGGACUUCAGAAUCAAAACUGUACUUAAGGUGAUGAUGCAGAAGAAUCAGCUCUACUUUUAACUACCAUCUUUUACAAUGUCUUACAUUAUGUGAAAGAGCUUCUCAAGCUUCCAAUCCUCCGUGAUCGAAGGUCUUUUUUUCUUAAAAUAUUAGCAAAAACACUGUCUUGGUACUAAAAGGGGACCAACAGGUCCAGCUCUUUACUCACGAGUACUAUUUCACACAUUUGAUCGUACUGCCAGCUCCAUUUUGUUCAGGUAACAGCGAACGGAAAAGAAUCAAAUACAUACAUGUUACUGCAUGUGGCAAAAGUGUGGCCUCACU